AUGGCCGGCCGCCGCCGCAGCCGCUCGCGAAUCCAAGGCGACGGGGCGACCCGUCCUCGUCGCCUCCGCUCCCGAGUCGUCGGCAGCGAGGACGGCGACGGGGCGACCCGUCCCAGCCGCCGCCGCUCCCGAGUCGUCGGCAGCGAGGACGGCGACGGGGCGACCCGUCCCAGCCGCCGCCGCCGCGCCAGCUCGCCGGAGGUGCCAGACGAAGCUGACGCUGAUACCCUGUGGGAGUCGCUGCCGUUGGAUAUGAUUUGGGAGAUCCUGCUCCUGCUUCCACCGGAGCGGCCCUCCCUCGUGCUGCCACCGAAGCGGCGCUCCUUCCUGCGCGCAUCCGGCGUCUCCACGCUCUGGCGAGGCGUCGCCACCGACCCAAACUUUAUGAGCCAGCACCGCAGGAAGUGGAAGCCUCCACUCCUCGGCGUUUUCGAGCGCCGCCAGCAGAAGUUCCACUUCACCCCCGUCUUGCAUCCUCCCGACCGUAUCCCUGCCGACCGCAUUCACAUCUCAGGCUGGAUGACCUCCCGCGACUGCGACGCGACCGACUGCCGCCACGGUCGGGUGUUGGCACAGGCGGAGGACCACGUGCACGGCUUUUGCCACGAGAGCCCAUUCAAGGUCGCAUUGUUGUCCAGGUGCGAUAAUCGAUAUAUCACCUCUGUUUACUCAUCAGAAAGCCGCACAUGGGCAGACCUUAUAACAAUCGAAGCUCCAUUUAAAGUUGCUCUUGUUGAUGUUCCUGCGACCCUGGUUGGAAAUGUGCUCUACUGGAUGCUUUCAUCAAAUGAUGUUUGUGCUGCCAUGCUUGAGUUUGAUUUGGAUAGGCAGAGCCUAGCUGUGAUCAAGGGACCUUCUGAUAUGAAUUAUUCCGGCAGCCAUAGGAUCAUCAAAACAGAGCAAGGCACAGUUGGCUGGGUCAGGUUUUCAUUUCCGAUCCUAGAAAUAUGGCUGAGGAAGAAAAAAUGUCACGGUCUUGCCACGUGGUUGCAGCAUAAGACAGUUGAUAUGCAUGACAUUCUUGGGAUCCCUCGGGUUAGUAAGAAGCGGUGGCCAAAAAUCCUUGGGUAUGACGAGGACAACAAUGUGAUCAUUCUGUAUGUUGAGGACAGUGCCUACAUGCUUGAUCUUAAGUCGAUGGAAUCCACAAAACUUGAUGAAAGCCGUUUGAUGAAAUACUGCCACCCAUUCACCAGUUUCUAUCCGCCAGACAUGGCCAUCUAA
This 1224-nucleotide ribosomal RNA is filed under the name Triticum aestivum (bread wheat). RNAcentral describes it as "partial small subunit ribosomal RNA". Lineage: Eukaryota; Viridiplantae; Streptophyta; Magnoliopsida; Poales; Poaceae. The record is from RNAcentral.